This is a long non-coding RNA of Amphimedon queenslandica, 527 nucleotides long. RefSeq lists it as uncharacterized. The record is from RefSeq and is a predicted model, not a curated record. The transcript is spliced from 4 exons. Lineage: Eukaryota; Metazoa; Porifera; Demospongiae; Haplosclerida; Niphatidae.
GUGGGGCUGGGUCUGCCUAGGAUCCAGGAUCACAGCACCUGAUUACAGUAUUGACACAGACAGUUAAAAAGCACUAGAAUACACCAAAGAAGUGCCGUACGGGAUCAACUUAAGAGUUGUGAUUUUGGGGAACCUGAAAGAAUAUUCCGAGGAAUCAAUUCCAUUUACAAGAAGUGUUUCAAAGUGUCAUCCCAUUAAGCAAAUCUCCAACAAUUGAAUAAUAAAUACAUUUCAUUAAAAAUGCUCAGGAAACUAUUGAGGAGCUAACAGAGAGUCUAAGAGAAGAGGAACAAUUAUUAAAGACUUUAAUGCAGAAGACUAAAGACAGAGAGUGUAUCAAAUAUGAGUUUAAACUGCAAAAGAGUCUACAAGUUCAUUUUAAUGAAUCCUCAACAGUUGAUAAUGUACAAGGAUGUAUCUUCUUAACAUACAAUUGUCGUGUUUUUUAAUUUAAUUAUUUACUUAAUAAUUUCUGGACUAUACACACAUACUUCUGCAUACAUUUACAAGUCCUCAUACAACAUCAA